UUCAUUAGUUUUGUGAAGUAAAAACUUUUAAGGCAUGUGUCACCUAUUGACAUUUCAGCAAGUUGCGCUUAGAUAAAUUUUUAACUGUAGACAUUUUUAGAUUCGCACACCAUGUAUGUCAUGUAAAUUUAUAAGGUUUGUAAUUUGAACUUAUGAGUUGGUAAAAGGUUGAAUAGUAAGACAUACUGUAGUGAGGUUUUGAUGGAAAGAGAAGACAGUUUCCAAAUAUGGACUUUGAAAUUUCUAUAAGCAGCUUUAAUUCUACCAAGAUCCGGUGAAAGUAACAGUUUUGGAAGACAGGACGAGAACAGGUGGAAUUCAUUAAUCUUUAACAAUACAAACGUGUAAGCCUCAUCAGUGUUAAUGUUUACAUGAAGUUAAUCGCCUUUAGUUUCAUGUGUUUUUACUCCCAAAUAUUUUCAAUCCUUUCACAACUACAUAGAAAAGUUUUAGUAUUAUUUUUUUCGUUUACUUUCGAAUAAUUUUCGUUUGAGUGACUUCUGGUAUAUAAAAUAACAAUUAGAAGACUAUUUUUUAAUAGUGAAACCAUUAUUUGAGUUUUCAUUUUAUAAUUAGGAUAUGAACAAACGGCAUCUUAUAAUAAAAUUUUAUGUGAACAGCAAUAGUCAUUCGAUUAUCAGGAUUAAGUGAACACUAGUAGUAGAUACUAGCAGACAGCAGUGGUCAAUUUGUAAUACAGAAUCAUACGAAAUUAGGACAGCAGUAGUCACUUUAUCAUCAGGAUACGAGCGGACAAUAGUAGUUCUCUUAUCACCAGAAUACGAGCAGACAGCAGUGGUCACUUUGUAAUUAUGAAUCGUGAAAUGAGGACAGCAGUAGUCACUUUAUCAUCAUGAUACAAGCAGAUAAUAGUAGUCCCCUUAUCACCAAGAUACGAGCAGACAGCAGUGGUCACUUUGUAAUUAUGAAUCGUGAAAUGAGGACAGCAGUAGUCUCUUUAUCAUCAUGAUACAAGCAGACAAUAGUAGUCCGCUUAUCACCAAGAUACGAGCAGACAGCAGUGGUCACUUUGUAAUUAUGAAUCAUACGAAAUGAGGACAACAGUAGUCAUUUUAUCAUCAGGAUACGAGCAGACAGCAGUGGUCACUUUGAAAUUAUGAAUCAUACGAAAUGAGGACAGCAGUAGUCACUUUAUCAUCAGGAUACGAGCAGACAGUAGUAGUCCCCUUGAGUGAUUUCUUGUCUGGAUUUUACAAGCAUUUUUGUGUCUAUAAACUUUGCUAUAUGGGACAUUUUAGUUCAUUAGAAAUGUUUAAAUUCACCGCAAGAUGUUGUAGGUGCAGGAGUUAACUCUCAUGAAGAUUCUGUUUAUUGUUACCUUUGUUAGCUUCAUAUAUAUAUUAUUUUGAAGCUUAACAGCUCUUUUUUUCUUUUCUUAUUGGCACGUCCUUUAUUUCGUGUAUAUGAAAAUGUUCCUGCAUUACACGGUUUCAAUUAUAAAUUGUUUAACCAGAAUGAAAGAUUGAUCCGUAAAAAAAAAAACACGUAACUCCGUUAUUGUUAGAGAACACCUACAAUUAUACAAAGUAGACAUUCUGUCGAGAAAGAACGGUAAUUAUCUGCAGACUGUUUGAGCUACAUUUAUCCACAAACAUUUCUUGAAUUUUCCAGGUAUGAGCCAUUGCUGUUUACACGACUCUGGCAGUACAAUAAUUGAUCGAUGUUUUACCGCUUUCCACGCCAGCGGGGUGUCGAAACAUAGUGUCCUCUAAUAAUCAAUGCAGUUCUGUGUUAUGUAGCGCCACGGUAACGAGGGUGUUACAUGUUUCAAUGUAACACAACUGAUAAAUAUAAGUAUCGGUAACGUUGUUGAAAAACUGCUCCGGAACAUUGUUGUUUAAUUGAUAUAGAAUAGAAAACAUUGUUGGUUAGUUAAGUGAUGUAGAAUAGAAAACAUUGUUGGUUGAUUGAUAUAGAAUAGAAAACAUUGUUGGUUAAGUGAUGUAGAAUAGAAAACAUUGUUGGUUGAUUGAUAUAGAAUAGAAAACAUUGUUGGUUAAUUGAUAUAGAAUAGAAAACAUUGUUGGUUGAUUGAUAUAGAAUAGAAAAUAUUGUUGGUUAAUUAAAUGAAAAAUAUAUUCACAGUAAAGUGAUUUAUAAUAAACAAAUAAAACUAAAGGCUAUGACAAACAGGAACCUUAGUAGGUAACCUAAUGAAAAUCUUAACUGUUUACUUAUUUCAUAGUGUUUUAAAAACUGAUUUUUCACAUUAACUGUUCGAUUAACAUUUCUGCCUAAAGACCGUGCAAGUUUGAUGGCCGAAAGCUUGUGUAAGUAAAACAAUUAAACGUGUAAAUAAUCAUGUACGUUCAUUAUAUGAUUCAUAUCGUACAUUGUCGGCUAUAAACAUUAUCAAUGUGGGCCUAAUUUAACUAGUAUUGGAAAGCGUAUAAAUAUAUUGCGGUGAAUACCUAUAAGUAUGAAUUGUGGUGGUAUUCUCGCUGUAAGAUAUUGUAUUGUUGAGAAUAUGCUAUAUCAGUUGAGAUAAUAGUUAAACAUCAAAGUUAACAAAGUGUUAACAGUGCUUUCACCUGCAAGAAAUAAUGGACGACACGUUUUCAAAUUGUGUUUCAUAGAAAACCCAUUGCGUUGUAAUUACGUAAUGUCUUUACAGAACACAGAGAGGUCACGGCUAAUUAAACAACAGAAAAUAAUGUUGGUUAACUUGUCGCUGUAAUGAAUUAGGAUAGUUGUGUUUAUUAGCUGGUUUCUUCAAGGUUUUUGCGAGGCAAUUCUAGUUCAAGAUUUUCUUCCCUUGACAACCUUGGUCUUGUUACGUACAACUUAUAAUUUGAAAGUUCUGAGAAAACACGAACAAAUGAACAAUAUGAUGCCAUGCAUCAGUACACGCGGGAGUCUUCAAAACAGGACAAAGAUCUCGAAUCUACUUCGGUUAAUAAUCUUCACGAAGAUGAUCUACAGAACAUAAGACGAAACAAUGAUCACGAAUUUACUUGGAUAAAUGAUCUGCACGAAGAUGAUCUAGAAAACAUAAGACGAAACAAAGAUCACGGAUUUACUUGGGUAAAUGAUCUGCACGAAGAUGAUCUACAGAACAUAAGACGAAACAUAGAUCACGGAUUUACUUGGAUAAAUGAUCUGCACGAAGAUGAUCUAGAGAACAUAAGACGAAACAAAGAUCGCAGAUCUACUUGGGUAAAUGAUCUACACGAAGAAGAUCUUCAAAUAUUAUCGGGAUAAAGGGUUAGGGUCUACUUGGG
Molecule: long non-coding RNA, 3242 nt
Filed under: Limulus polyphemus (Atlantic horseshoe crab)
Lineage: Eukaryota; Metazoa; Arthropoda; Merostomata; Xiphosura; Limulidae
Description: uncharacterized LOC111086111
Source: RNAcentral